This 83-nucleotide transfer RNA is filed under the name Leptospiraceae bacterium. Its description in RNAcentral is "tRNA-Leu". It matches the Rfam family "tRNA". From Rfam's summary of the family: Transfer RNA (tRNA) molecules are approximately 80 nucleotides in length. Their secondary structure includes four short double-helical elements and three loops (D, anti-codon, and T loops). The record is from RNAcentral. Lineage: Bacteria; Pseudomonadati; Spirochaetota; Leptospiria; Leptospirales; Leptospiraceae.
GCCCGAGUGAUGGAAUUGGUAGACAUACAGGACUUAAAAUCCUGGGACCUUGCGUCGUGCCGGUUCAAGUCCGGCCUCGGGUA